Molecule: ribosomal RNA, 657 nt
Filed under: Oenococcus oeni
Lineage: Bacteria; Bacillati; Bacillota; Bacilli; Lactobacillales; Lactobacillaceae
Description: bacterial LSU rRNA
Rfam family: Bacterial large subunit ribosomal RNA
Source: RNAcentral
CAACUAGGAGGUUGGCUCAGAAGCAGCCACCCUUUAAAGAGUGCGUAAUAGCUCACUAGUCGAGUGCUCUUGCGCGGAUAAUGUACCGGGGCUAAGCAUAUUACCGAAACUGUGGAUGCGUAAGCAUGGUAGGAUAGCGUAAUUAACGCGAUGAAGGAUGACCGUAAGGACAUGUUGGAGCGUUAACUAGUGAGAAUUCCGGUAUGAGUAGCGAAAGAUAGGUGAGAAUCCUAUCCACCGAAUGAGUAAGGUUUCCCCCGGAAGGCUCGUCCGCGGGGGGUUAGUCGGGACCUAAGGCGAGGCUGAAAAGCGUAGUCGAUGGACAACAGGUUGAUAUUCCUGUACCGAUAUUUAAUUGCCGAAGGAAGGACGCAGAAGGAUAACACAGGCCACUAUUGGAUGUGGUUUUAAACAGUUAGUCUUCAUAAGAGUCAAAUGCUUUUAUGUUUAAGGAUAAGCUGUGAAUGUACCAAGUUUACUUGGAAAUUGUGUGAUUUCACGCUGCUGAAAAAAGUUUCGUAGGAAGAAAAUAUUGCCCGUACCGCAAACCGACACAGGUACUCAAGUGGAGAACACUAAGGUGAGCGAGUGAACUAUUGUUAAGGAACUCUGCAAAAUGAGUCCGUAACUUCGGAAGAAGGACUGCUGGUUUUAUAC